Molecule: ribosomal RNA, 723 nt
Filed under: Campylobacter coli
Lineage: Bacteria; Pseudomonadati; Campylobacterota; Epsilonproteobacteria; Campylobacterales; Campylobacteraceae
Also listed under: 1 other name
Description: partial 23S ribosomal RNA
Rfam family: Bacterial large subunit ribosomal RNA
Source: RNAcentral
UAAAUACUAAUACCAGAUCGAUAGUGCACAAGUACCGUGAGGGAAAGGUGAAAAGAACUGAGGUGAUCAGAGUGAAAUAGAACCUGAAACCAUUUGCUUACAAUCAUUCAGAGCCCUAUGUAGCAAUACAGGGUGAUGGACUGCCUUUUGCAUAAUGAGCCUGCGAGUUGUGGUGUCUGGCAAGGUUAAGCAAACGCGAAGCCGUAGCGAAAGCGAGUCUGAAUAGGGCGCUUAGUCAGAUGCUGCAGACCCGAAACGAAGUGAUCUAUCCAUGAGCAAGUUGAAGCUAGUGUAAGAACUAGUGGAGGACUGAACCCAUAGGCGUUGAAAAGCCCCGGGAUGACUUGUGGAUAGGGGUGAAAGGCCAAUCAAACUUCGUGAUAGCUGGUUCUCUCCGAAAUAUAUUUAGGUAUAGCGUUGUGUCGUAAUAUAAGGGGGUAGAGCACUGAAUGGGCUAGGGCAUACACCAAUGUACCAAACCCUAUCAAACUCCGAAUACCUUAUAUGUAAUCACAGCAGUCAGGCGGCGAGUGAUAAAAUCCGUCGUCAAGAGGGAAACAACCCAGACUACCAGCUAAGGUCCCUAAAUCUUACUUAAGUGGAAAACGAUGUGAAGUUACUUAAACAACCAGGAGGUUGGCUUAGAAGCAGCCAUCCUUUAAAGAAAGCGUAAUAGCUCACUGGUCUAGUGAUUUUGCGCGGAAAAUAUAACGGGGCUAAAGU